This 328-nucleotide unclassified non-coding RNA is filed under the name soil metagenome. RNAcentral describes it as "partial contains 5.8S ribosomal RNA, internal transcribed spacer 2, and large subunit ribosomal RNA". The stretch from base 1 to 120 matches the Rfam family "5.8S ribosomal RNA", at positions 35 to 154 of the family's 154-position model. The record is from RNAcentral.
GAUGAAGAACGUAGCGAAAUGCGAUAAGUAAUGUGAAUUGCAGAAUUCAGUGAAUCAUCGAAUCUUUGAACGCACAUUGCGCCCCCUGGUAUUCCGGGGGGCAUGCCUGUCCGAGCGUCAUUACAACCCUCAAGCUCAGCUUGGUGUUGGGCCCCGCCGCCCCGGCGGGCCCUAAAGUCAGUGGCGGUGCCGUCCGGCUCCGAGCGUAGUAAUUCUCUCGCUCUGGAGGUCCGGUCGUGUGCUCGCCAGCAACCCCCAAUUUUUUUCAGGUUGACCUCGGAUCAGGUAGGGAUACCCGCUGAACUUAAGUAUAUCAAUAAGCGGAGGA